Molecule: long non-coding RNA, 374 nt
Filed under: Hordeum vulgare
Lineage: Eukaryota; Viridiplantae; Streptophyta; Magnoliopsida; Poales; Poaceae
Description: long non-coding RNA (HVUL_LNC000970)
Source: RNAcentral
UUGCAUUCCAAACCCACGGAGAUCUGAGCCUUUGCAAACUACACUACAUGCGCGAGGCUUAUGUUGUACUAUCAAACCAGAAUUGUUUCCAGUUUUCUCUGUGAAUAGCCUGGGAUUCAGGAAGCCAAUAAGAUGAUGGCACUGUCCAUCCAAUAAAUUCUUGUUAUUUUUUUUAGUACCAGUCAUAACUUGAAGCACAUCAAUUUCUUGGGCGAUUGGGACACAAGGCUACUUUUGUAGUAUUGCUCCUUUGUGGGUUGCACCGCUUAGGAUGUGUAAUUGUCAGCUAGACUUACCGCGCAAGUGAUUACAUGAUUGAGAUUGGAGUAGCAGAUGGCUCUGCUCGCUUCAUCAUUUAAAACGAUGGAUAGUUA